CACAGUAUCGCGAGAGCGAUUAGAGGGCUUUACUUUGGAAUGGCUCUCGCGGUACCAUGAUGUCAAAAAGCAGGUUGUUCUGAGAGCACAAGAAGUCCACCACACCUAAUAAUAAACUCUUUUUGACCGAGGACUCGCACUAUGAAGUACGUAUUGGAGGAUGAAUAGUAGAGCUGAGGGGUCAGGUGUGUGAGGCUCAUGUGCAGGAUGGAUGGACCAUGAGGUUCUACAGUGAUGUGAGCUCCAAAGUGAGUGCCUUGCCGGACAUCUGCUGCUCUUGCAUCUCACAACCCGGCCCAUCUGGCCCAGCCAGUCUUUCCUCUUGACAAAGAUGGUUGUUCCUCAUGCCAGGAACAUUCUUUUUCCAGCCUUUCUUCUUCGCUCUCAUCAUUCACAUUUCUAGAAGAAUAUGUGAGGACCAUCAGAUCCGAAUAUUUGGAAGAAAUUUCUCUUUGAGCUUUGCCACGAGGACCGUUAUGCCCUGAUGACAGGGGAUGUGACACUAUCGGGUAUAUCAGGCCACACCGGUAAUCAUCUCCUGCUAAAACACCAGCUGAGCGAGGAAAAAGGUAGAGAGACUCCAACAACACCCCCUGACCCAAAACCGCCCACUUGCACCAGACAGAAACACAGCAGGCAGCUAAUUAGCAUGUGCUAAUGAGAUCCUGUGCCAAGGUGACCGGCAUUCAAUAGUGCAGGGAAAGCGUGGUGCUUGUAAACACAAUUACAAACAAGCUUGACAAGCUUUGCAACUCAAAACAGCAAAUUUAGUAAAGUGUACACAGAAUAAGCUUUAAAAUAUCUAUAUGUGCCGCAGGGAUAGUUUCCUGAAGUCAUUCUGUGGCUCAGUUGGUACUGGUAGAGCAUAGAGUUGGUUGUGGGUUUGAAUUCAUAGUCUUGAUGAAAAAAUGUAUACCUUUAUUAUACCUUUUAUCCAAAGUGACACUGUAAGUCGCUUUAGUAUAGAUACAAUCAUCCGCCAUAUGCAUGAAUGUAAAUUCUGAUUGUCAAGCACAAAUUUGGGUGUUUGGCCUAGUUUGACCCUUGGUGAUUCUCAUGAAAUCCAGACUUAAAAGGUGUCCAGCAUCAGAUUUUUUUAAAAAGCCAUUGAAGCCAAUAUUUUAUUUUGCACAUAUAAGAUUAGGGUCUGAACUUAAUUUAACCAUUAUUUUUUGAGGAUUUAAAAAAAUAUUUCCUAUAGAAUUAUUUACAUUUUUUAGAUUUUCAUUAUCAAAAAUUAUCAUUACCGCAACAUGUUAUUACAUUAAAUAUAUGCAGUUACAAAUUCAUGUUUCGGUAAUGAGAACUAAAAAGUUGUCUAGGUACUAUGACAAACUAAAUUUCAACUUUUAUCUGGAGAGAAAAAAUAAGAACUGCUUACCUGGUAGCAAUCUUGAGUGUCACUGUCAAUUAUGU
This is a long non-coding RNA of Misgurnus anguillicaudatus (oriental weatherfish), 1416 nucleotides long. RefSeq lists it as uncharacterized. The record is from RefSeq and is a predicted model, not a curated record. Lineage: Eukaryota; Metazoa; Chordata; Actinopteri; Cypriniformes; Cobitidae.